UGGGGAAUAUUGGACAAUGGGCGAAAGCCUGAUCCAGCCAUGCCGCGUGUGUGAAGAAGGUCUUCGGAUUGUAAAGCACUUUAAGUUGGGAGGAAGGGCAGUAAGCGAAUACCUUGCUGUUUUGACGUUACCGACAGAAUAAGCACCGGCUAACUCUGUGCCAGCAGCCGCGGUAAUACAGAGGGUGCAAGCGUUAAUCGGAAUUACUGGGCGUAAAGCGCGCGUAGGUGGUUCGUUAAGUUGAAUGUGAAAGCCCCGGGCUCAACCUGGGCACUGCCUCCCACACUGGCGAGCUAGAUUAUGGCAGAGGGUGGUUGAAUUUCCUGUUUAGCCGUCCAAUGCGUUGAUAUCGCCAUGACCCCCCGUUGCGCCGGCCACCCCCUGGCCUCCUUCUGCCCCUGCGGUGCGCCCGCGUUGGUAGCCAACCGG
Molecule: ribosomal RNA, 429 nt
Filed under: Pseudomonadota bacterium
Lineage: Bacteria; Pseudomonadati; Pseudomonadota
Description: Proteobacteria bacterium partial 16S ribosomal RNA
Rfam family: Bacterial small subunit ribosomal RNA
Source: RNAcentral